RNAcentral lists this long non-coding RNA (1255 nucleotides) under Felis catus (domestic cat). RNAcentral's name for it is "lncRNA (ENSFCAG00000049362.1)". The record is from RNAcentral. Lineage: Eukaryota; Metazoa; Chordata; Mammalia; Carnivora; Felidae.
CACAAUCCGAAGCAGGCUCCAGGCUGUGAGCUGUCGUCACACAGACCAAUGCGGGGCUCGAACUCACGGACCGCGAGAUCGUGACCUGAGCUGCAGUCGGACGCUUAACCCACUGAGCCACCCAGGGACCCUGGCUGUCCCCACUUUAAUUUCAGCGGGUCCCAGUCAACCUCAGGCGGGACUCACACUCGCUUGGCUCCCAGGGCUGGUGGGGUUAGAACGUGGGCCCCCUCCCUCCAGAAGUCCCCUGGGGACAAAGGCCACGUCCCUCCGCUCACCUGCGUUCCAGGCACCUGCAUGGUUCCGGGGGGCGCUCAGUGCCAGCCACGGGAGGGGUGAGAAUCGCCCCCAGAGGCGGCCGCGGCCCGGACGGUAGCCUCUUGCCCUCCUGGGGACGCUCCUGGGGACGGCUGGGCGGGCUGUCAACCCCAGUGGCUCCUGCCCUUCCCCUCUCCCGGCUCCGACUGCUCACCACACGCACCUCCCAGAGGGAACGCGUUGUCGACACAGCAGUUCAGUCCCACGGGCAUUUAGGGCCUCAAGCCAGUGACUGGGGCAGACGAUGUGGCCACAGCAACCACUUCGGAACUUUUCAGGAGCCUUCAACGAGCCCUUAACACACUCCCUGGGUCUAAGAGACAUCCUGCCGGAGAGACGAGACUAACAUGCCAAAAAUACUGCACGAAAUGAGACAGCACACAGGAGCUGCACGAAUGCGUUCGGCGUCCCGGUUCAGAGCUGUGUUUCGUCGUGAGGUGUUUUACAACUGGGAUUUCUCCUUCUAGCACAGAAGCGUACAAGUCCUUUUCUAGAAUUCAUUUUGCUUUUAUUCACUUAUAUCUUCACACUCUUUAUUGAAUUUACAAAUAACGAAGUUGCACGUCUCUUAAAAUAGUUUCUAAAUCAGAAUUGUAACCCAUUACGUGGGCCUUGCCCCUGUAAAUUCUAACUUGAUGGCGUUUGAUUAUAAUUUGCUUUGUGUGUAGAAGUAGAUAAUUGGGGAAAACGGAUGUCUCCAAAUCAAGCCGGUUUUAGUCUUGAAAACUGUCUCACUGCAUCUUCUAACUUCGUGGAUCUGGAGGGUGCGUGUAAAUGGGCCAGCGACGUGUGGGAGAGCCAUCAGUCCCCAGUUGUAAGCGUGCCCCGGCCAUCAGUCCCCAGUUGUAAGCGUGCCCCAGCCAUCAGUCCCCAGUCGUAAGCGUGCCCCGGCCAUCAGUCCCCACUUGUAAGUGUGCCCCGGCCAUCAGUCCCCAGU